Long non-coding RNA from Vidua chalybeata, 259 nucleotides. RefSeq lists it as uncharacterized. The transcript is spliced from 3 exons. Lineage: Eukaryota; Metazoa; Chordata; Aves; Passeriformes; Viduidae. The record is from RefSeq and is a predicted model, not a curated record.
UGAGGUUUGCAUUCCCAGGAGCUAGGCGGGCUCAUGUUGUAUUGAUUGCAGAAGUUUACCAUUUCCAACUGCAGCAAAACCCUGUCAUCUCUCAGUGUUUGUGUGUUCAGCCAACUCCACGCUCGUUGCACUAAAAAGCUCUUCAGGAACAGAAGAAUACACAAAUGCAGAUAUUACCACACAGGAUUGGCACCAGGAUCUGAGGAAGAAUCUAUUUAUAAAAUCUCUGUGCAUUUGCUUUGAAGACAGAAAACCUCAC